This 188-nucleotide unclassified non-coding RNA is filed under the name uncultured Glomus. Its description in RNAcentral is "sequence contains 18S rRNA gene". It matches the Rfam family "Eukaryotic small subunit ribosomal RNA", at positions 569 to 758 of the family's 1831-position model. Lineage: Eukaryota; Fungi; Glomeromycota; Glomeromycetes; Glomerales; Glomeraceae. The record is from RNAcentral.
AGCAGCCGCGGUAAUUCCAGCUCCAAUAGCGUAUAUUAAAGUUGUUGCAGUUAGAAAGCUCGUAGUUGAAUUUCGGGAUCAGCAGGUCGGUCGUGCCACUGGUAUGUACUGGCUUUGCUGAUUCCUCCCUCUUGACGAACCGUAAUGCCAUUAAUUUGGUGUUGCGGGAAAUUCAGGACUGUUACUUU